Molecule: ribosomal RNA, 274 nt
Filed under: uncultured bacterium
Lineage: Bacteria
Description: partial 16S ribosomal RNA
Rfam family: Bacterial small subunit ribosomal RNA
Source: RNAcentral
AUACAGAGGGUGCGAGCGUUAAUCGGAAUUACUUGGCGUAAAGCGCGCGUAGGCGGCUUAUUAAGUCAGAUGUGAAAUCCCCGGGCUCAACCUGGGAACUGCAUCUGAUACUGGUAAGCUAGAGUUUUGGAGAGGGAAGUAGAAUUUCAGGUGUAGCGGUGAAAUGCAUAGAGAUCAGAAGGAAUACCAGUGGCGAAGGCGACUUCCUGGCCAAAAACUGACGCUGAGGUGCGAAAGCGUGGGUAGCAAACGGGAUUAGAUACCCUUGUAGUCC